AGAGUUUGAUCCUGGCUCAGGAUGAACGCUGGCGGCGUGCCUAAUACAUGCAAGUCGAACGAAGAUCUAGCUUGCUAGAUCUUAGUGGCGAACGGGUGAGUAAUACAUAAAUAAUCUACCCAUUGGACUGGGAUAACUGUUGGAAACGAUAGCUAAUACCGGAUAGGUGAUUUGAAGGCAUCUUCGAAUCAUUAAAGUAGGGUCACUACACCAAUGGAUGAGUUUAUGGCGCAUUAGUUAGUUGGCGGGGUAACGGCCCACCAAGACGAUGAUGCGUAGCCGACCUGAGAGGGUGACCGGCCACACUGGGACUGAGACACGGCCCAGACUCCUACGGGAGGCAGCAGUAGGGAAUUUUCGGCAAUGGGCGCAAGCCUGACCGAGCAACGCCGCGUGAGUGAUUAAGGCCUUCGGGUUGUAAAGCUCUGUUGUAAGGGAAGAACAUUCAGGAUAGGAAAUGAUCUUGAACUGACGGUACCUUACCAGAAAGCCACGGCUAACUACGUGCCAGCAGCCGCGGUAAUACGUAGGUGGCAAGCGUUAUCCGGAAUUAUUGGGCGUAAAGGGUGCGUAGGCGGUUUAUUAAGUCUAUGGUGAAAGUGCGGGGCUCAACCCCGUAUGGCCAUAGAAACUGAUAGACUUGAGUGCAGGAGAGGGCAAUGGAAUUCCAUGUGUAGCGGUAAAAUGCGUAGAUAUAUGGAGGAACACCAGUGGCGAAGGCGGUUGCCUGGCCUGUAACUGACGCUGAGGCACGAAAGCGUGGGGAGCAAAUAGGAUUAGAUACCCUAGUAGUCCACGCUGUAAACGAUGAAUACUAAGUGUUGGAGAAAUUCAGUGCUGCAGUUAACGCAAUAAGUAUUCCGCCUGGGGAGUAUGCACGCAAGUGUGAAACUCAAAGGAAUUGACGGGACCCCGCACAAGCGGUGGAUUAUGUUGUUUAAUUCGACGCAACGCGAAGAACCNNNNNNNNNNNNNNNNNNUCGUCAGCUCGUGUCGUGAGAUGUUGGGUUAAGUCCCGCAACGAGCGCAACCCUUGUCUUUAGUUACCAUCAUUCAGUUGGGGACUCUAGAGAGACUGCCGGUGAUAAACCGGAGGAAGGUGGGGAUGACGUCAAAUCAUCAUGCCCCUUAUGGCCUGGGCUACAAACGUAAUACAAUGGCGUAUACAAAGGGAUGCGAAAGGGCGACCUGGAGCAAAACUCACAAAGUACGUCUCAGUUCAGAUUGGAGUCUGCAACUCGACUCCAUGAAGGCGGAAUCGCUAGUAAUCNNCGCGAAUCAGAACGUCGCGGUGAAUACGUUCUCGGGGUUUGUACACACCGCCCGUCAAACCAUGAGAGUUGGUAAUACCCGAAGCCGGUGGCCUAACCUAGAAAUAGGAGGGAGCCGUCGAAGGUAGGAUCGAUGAUUAGGGUUAAGUCGUAACAAGGUAUCCCUACGGGAACGUGGGGAUG
RNAcentral lists this ribosomal RNA (1454 nucleotides) under Erysipelotrichaceae bacterium UBA4808. RNAcentral describes it as "bacterial SSU rRNA". It matches the Rfam family "Bacterial small subunit ribosomal RNA". The record is from RNAcentral. Lineage: Bacteria; Bacillati; Bacillota; Erysipelotrichia; Erysipelotrichales; Erysipelotrichaceae.